GUGUAGCUCAGUGACAGGGCAAAUGUCUAGCAUGCAUGAGACCCUGGGUUAGAACCCCAGUAC
This 63-nucleotide transfer RNA is filed under the name Heterocephalus glaber (naked mole-rat). Lineage: Eukaryota; Metazoa; Chordata; Mammalia; Rodentia; Bathyergidae. The record is from Rfam by way of RNAcentral.